AAGUCGUAACAAGGUUUCCGUAGGUGAACCUGCGGAAGGAUCAUUAUUGAUUUUUAAAGCAAACCAAGCUUUUUUAAUAAAGUAAGGUUUUGCGAACAUAUUUAAAACCCCACUCUUUUAAAUAAAUUUUCAUUCAUAUUAUAUAUUAUGAAUAAAAAAAAGAUCACUUUCAACAACGGAUCUCUUGGCUCUC
This 193-nucleotide unclassified non-coding RNA is filed under the name Glomus cubense. RNAcentral describes it as "partial internal transcribed spacer region". The stretch from base 1 to 46 matches the Rfam family "Eukaryotic small subunit ribosomal RNA", at positions 1786 to 1831 of the family's 1831-position model. Lineage: Eukaryota; Fungi; Glomeromycota; Glomeromycetes; Glomerales; Glomeraceae. The record is from RNAcentral.